Molecule: long non-coding RNA, 237 nt
Filed under: Lathyrus oleraceus (garden pea)
Lineage: Eukaryota; Viridiplantae; Streptophyta; Magnoliopsida; Fabales; Fabaceae
Description: Pisum sativum (pea) long non-coding RNA (PSAT_LNC017557)
Source: RNAcentral
AAAUAUUUUGCAUGUUUUAAUUGAGAAAUAUCAUUGUUUUUAAUUUGUCCUAACUUGUUUUUAAACAAAGUAAACAUUCACAAUGAUAAAAAGGAUACUGGGGAUGUCUUCAGUGCUCUCCCAAAGACGGUAUGAUUCUCAACAGGGUAAGACAUUUGUUCAUAUUCCUGGCAUGCUUGUGUCCUCUUCCUCCGGAGCCUUUUGUGGUUUUGCUCCCGAGUAGAGUGUUUGGUAAAG